CCUGUUAGUUAUAGAUAGCUAUUAGCAAGAGAAAGCUCCCAUUAGUUUCAGAAAGCCCCUGUUGGAUGAAUUCUGUUAAGUCCCAUUGGCUGGACAUGGCGUCUGUUAACUCCAGUUGUAUGCACUUUGCUCCAGUUAGCUCAAUUUAAUGACUUUUAUCUAGGGUGACCAAGUGUCCCGCUUUGUGCGGAACUGCACAGCAUUUUCAUCCCUUUUUCCACGUCCCACCCAUUGAGACGCUGUCCCGCAUUUUGAUUGGCAGCUAUAAUUUUCAAAAGUUAAAACUCUAAAGGACAGAUGCUAGGAGUUUUGUUUUUCAUGUGGCUUUUUUCUCUGUUAGUCAAACAGCCCAGAUGUGCGAUCACGACCAGAUUAACCUGUCAGUGUCUUGCUGCCGCACCUUGUUGUCAGUUGCCGUAAAUUGUGCCAGUCGCGACCGGUCGCGACACACCGCAAAGCAGACACAAACACUAAACUAUGGAUUUUGGCGGAGAUAAUGGAAAGUACAGCAAAGAAGAGGAGAUGCAGCUUCAACAAAGACUGGGAAACUACAUAUCACUGGGUGAAGCCGGUGCAAGGUGAUUCUCAGACAGUUUUCUGUGAAGUUUGCCAGAGUUCGUUUUCCGUUUCACACGGUGGGGAAUACGACGUGAAGCGACACAGUACAGCGAGACCACCCUCUCAGCUUUGCUCAGUAAACAUUUCUGAUUGGCCCUCACCGUCCGUGGUGGAGCGUGACUGGCUCUUGAGGCGGAGCGAAGGCCUGAAUCUUGUGCGGUCGUUGAAGCUCCAGCUCUUCUGGACCUUGGCUGGACUUGUUCCCUCGGUGCCGGCGUCGGCCCCUGGGGACCGCCGGUCGUUCACAGAGGACGUCUGCCGGUUCUUGAUGCUCUGACCACGGGGGCUUGCCAUCCUCACCCGCUCCUUGAAGCUCAACUUCUGGCUGGAAUUGGGAUGAAGAGCAGCACAGCGGAGAUGUUGGAGCGAAGAGAAGGAGAAGAAUGGUGUGAAAUGACAGACAGCACCUCCUCUGUUGGAAAAGCUCAGUCUUCGCUCAAGCCCCACCUCCUGAAAAGCCCGGUCAGCUCUGAUUGGUCAGCUGGUCCAACGAAAGCCAGGUAGCGUUGGUUAGUAACCCCAGAUCUAUCAGUUUAGAGAUUUUAGUUCUAGCAGACACAGCUUUAGCAAGGAAAUAGUGACAGGUUAUAAAACAGCUGCUCUUUCUUAGCAGGUAUUAUUUCAUACAUGAUGAUGUCGAUAAGUAACAGAACAAAAACCUAGACUUUAAAGGAGGUUUUUCAGGCAUCUAAGGAGCAGUUUUCUGGCGGAGGGAAUAAUUAUUUGCUGUGACUGGGGUUUUUGUAAGUUUGCAGACUUUUUACAUGCACAAAAAGCACGUGAAAUAACACUUAAGGAAAGGAUAAAUAAAAGCACAAUAUGGGCUCUUUAAGGGAUUGUCUGUGUUUAUGGAGCUAUAUAAAAAAUCAAAGCAUGCAGAGGCAGUGCAUAAGCGUCAGGCACAGCUCGUUUGAAAACAUUAUCGUGUACUGGGCUGAACAUCUGUUGUUUUGCUUCAGAAUAUAAUGCUUGUAUCUAUAUUUUUCCUACUGUAAGCAAUCUAAUGAAAAGAAAAACAAUGACUUAUUCUGUCUUUCAGCAUUUUUUUCACUGUAACUGAGUAAUAUCCUAAAACUGCGGGACACUGUAGGUUUUAACACAUGAUUCUUCAACAGGUGUAUAUAAUAACACUAUUUUAAGUUGCGGAUUAACCCUCUGAAUCCCAGAAGUUGCCUGUAGGUUUGAAAGGCAAAAAAAUAAAAAUACAAAUGACACCAAAAACAGAGAGCAUCAGCGGAUUUUCAACUUUCUGGCACUCUUUGAAUUACACGUGUGAAAGUGAACCAAAUCUAAGCUUGAAAUCAGUCAUCAAAAUCACUAUUUUUAAACAAUUCAACACUACUUGGUGCAACAGAAAAGUCAUGAGUGACUCAGCUGCAACCAACAGUCAUGGCAUGAAAAUUCAGAGUUCUUAGAUGAAUGAGAUGCUGUGUUUACACAGACCAGAGAGGAAAAUGAAACAUAUUUAUGGUCAACAGAGGAGCAAGUUAUUGGAAGAUACAUUCAGCACGGUGAAACAUUUUUCUGCAGUUGAUUUGCUGAGUAGUAUGAAAAAGGUUGCAAAAUAUAAAUGGUUAAAUAUCUUUAGCAAGUGGAGACACUUCCAGUUUCUUAAAAUUUUUGCAAAGUGGAUAAUCUUGGGGAAAAUUAUCAAAAUCUAAGCUUAAAAUCAUAUUUUCAUCAAAGUCACUGUAUUCUACUACUACUACUCUAACUCGUUUAAGAAUUUGCCAAAAACAAACCCUUUGCAGUAACCAAAUGUCGUUAAAAAAUAAAAAAAAUGCAAGCUGCGUUUCCACAGAGCAGAAAGCAAAUGCGUAAGGAAGCAAAUAAGAAAUGCAAGUUGUAAAAAUGUUUACAGUGUGUAGAGCCACCAUUUUUUCCAGUGUCUGCAACCCCUUUGGUCACCUCAAAAAUGUCAAAUGUGGUUCUUCCAGAUUAUUUAAACUUUUGCAAAAUAAAGAAAAAAAUUCUACUUUUGUUUUUAUUUUAUGAUUUACUGCACAAAAGACACUUUUGAGUUCAUUCUUAUUCUAGUCAUGGUUGUGCUGUUGCAAUCAAAAUGCAGGACUUCAUACUACAGUGAAAAAUUAGCUUAUAGUGAGGAAAAAUGUGUCAGGAGUGCAAAAAAAUGAAAAAAAAAGGUUCAGAGGGUUGAUACACAUUUGGUACAGUAAUGAGUAUUUACAAUAGGCAGAUGUUGCAAGUGUUCAUGAUAAUGAUAGAAUUACACAAAUACACAGAUUUUUAGCUGUUUUUUUUCCCUGAGAUUUGUUCACAAUAAAAAACAAAAGCAAACUAGAGUCAUCUCUAACCUAACAGACACUACCUGAAAGUUUAAAAUUUAUUCGUGUGUUAUGAGGAGUGAAGUGCAGUUUAUAGUUUCGAAGCAAGAAAUAAAAAAUGAAGAUAACGCACUACGCAAGAGAUCUUCUGUCUCACUGCAUUCAAGGAAGAAGCUGAUAAUUGUUAGUUGCUUGACAGCGACUGUCAGUGAGAGUGAAACCUGGCACAGACUCUAAUGAUCUGACGGCUAAAAACAAAAACCACAACAGGCAGAAAGUAGUGCAUCGCUCAGGCAAAUAUCAAAGACAGAAAGGCGGAUACUGUACUGCUAUGAAAUCUCCCCGCAGGAUUUAACCGGCUCUGCUGCCUCCUACAGAUACCCAUGCACCAGGAAUUAGUCAGCAUUCCCAAAGAAAAACUGCACGUAGCAGGGAAGCAGAGAUGCUGUGUACCUAUGUCUCCGAGUGGUACACCUCCUCAGUAGCUUCUGCUUAUUACUAUGAAUUUUACUAUAAACCAAGAGGAGAUAGACACACGGGGAUGUGUUACAUGAUGCAGAAACAGAGGAGAGAAAAGUGUUUUUUGUAAUGUUUAGAACAGAUAUUUAGUUCUUCUGAGUCAAAAACGUUUCAGAAAUCCACAUUGUCAUUCUUCAAGGAUAAAUUACCUAACUUUUACCUUUCGUGCGUUUCUUAUUGAGGUAUCCAGAGUCAUGACUAGUUCUAAGCCCAGUUUCAGGUGUCUAAAGUUUUAAUUCUGACUAGUCAUAAUUCUGGAGUAAGAUAUCUUUCAUUCCCUUCUACAUUAUUGUUUUCAGAUAAAUGAAGCUUAAACUGGUCAAAAUGUAUCUUGAAUUAACUAAAUAAUGUUGCAGAUAUUUGUUUUUACAUCAGAAGCUACGGCAAGUGGAAGAUGGAGGAAUAUGACGCACCAUUGUAACAUUGAAUUUAAAUUACAGAUAUUAACAGCUACAUUUUGACUAGUUGUAGUUAAACUGAGACUAGUCGGUAUUUUUAUUCAAGAGAAAAGAGGUAGUGCUAAAUUUUAGGGAA
This is a long non-coding RNA of Amphiprion ocellaris (clown anemonefish), 3956 nucleotides long. RefSeq lists it as uncharacterized. The record is from RefSeq and is a predicted model, not a curated record. Lineage: Eukaryota; Metazoa; Chordata; Actinopteri; Pomacentridae. The transcript is spliced from 3 exons.